UGGGUUAUUUAACUACAGCUGUGCCAAGAUGGGUCUGAACAUCUUCACCAAUUAUGCUGCAACAGAGUUUGGUGGAGAUGGAAUGCGAGUGAACACUGUCAGCCCCGGCCCCAUCAAGACGCCACUUUUUUUGCGAGACCGACCAGAAUUCCCGGGUGCAGCCCAGGUACAUAGUAUUAAUAAGUUAUCUAAAGUCAUCUAAAGUAGAACAUUUAAGCGUUAUGAUUUAAAUACUGGAAUAGUUUUUUUACAAAUUAUCAUCAUCAUCAUCAUCAUCAUCAUCAUCAUCAUCAUCAUCAUCAUCAUCAUCAAGUUUUUACAGUAGCUAAAAAUUCGUAUAUUUCGGUAUG
RNA transcript from Aplysia californica (California sea hare), 350 nucleotides. RefSeq lists it as uncharacterized. The transcript is spliced from 3 exons. NCBI's taxonomy places the organism in Eukaryota, Metazoa, Mollusca, Gastropoda, Aplysiida, Aplysiidae. The record is from RefSeq and is a predicted model, not a curated record.